Molecule: ribosomal RNA, 460 nt
Filed under: uncultured bacterium
Lineage: Bacteria
Description: partial 16S ribosomal RNA
Rfam family: Bacterial small subunit ribosomal RNA
Source: RNAcentral
CCUACGGGAGGCAGCAGUGAGGAAUAUUGGUCAAUGGGCGCGAGCCUGAACCAGCCAAGUCGCGUGAAGGAUGACUGCCCUACGGGUUGUAAACUUCUUUUAUAAAGGAAUAAAGUGAGGCACGUGUGCCUUUUUGUAUGUACUAUAUGAAUAAGGAUCGGCUAACUCCGUGCCAGCAGCCGCGGUAAUACGGAGGAUCCGAGCGUUAUCCGGAUUUAGUGGGUUUAAAGGGAGCGUAGAUGGGUUGUUAAGUCAGUUGUGAAAGUUUGCGGCUCAACCGUGAAAUUGCAAUUGAUACUGGCUGUCUUGAGUACAGGUGAGGGAGGCGGAAUUCGUGGUGUAGCGGUGAAAUGCUUAGAUAUCACGAAGAACUCCGAUUGCGAAGGCAGCUUACUAAACUGCAACUGACAUUGAGGCUCGAAAGUGUGGGUAUCAAACAGGAUUAGAUACCCCAGUAGUC